This 442-nucleotide ribosomal RNA is filed under the name uncultured bacterium. RNAcentral's name for it is "bacterial SSU rRNA". It matches the Rfam family "Bacterial small subunit ribosomal RNA", at positions 29 to 507 of the family's 1533-position model. The record is from RNAcentral.
AGCGAACGCUGGCGGCAGGCUUAACACAUGCAAGUCGAACGGGCGUAGCAAUACGUCAGUGGCAGACGGGUGAGUAACGCGUGGGAACGUACCUUUUGGUUCGGAACAACUGAGGGAAACUUCAGCUAAUACCGGAUAAGCCCUUACGGGGAAAGAUUUAUCGCCGAAAGAUCGGCCCGCGUCUGAUUAGCUAGUUGGUGAGGUAAUGGCUCACCAAGGCGACGAUCAGUAGCUGGUCUGAGAGGAUGAUCAGCCACACUGGGACUGAGACACGGCCCAGACUCCUACGGGAGGCAGCAGUGGGGAAUAUUGGACAAUGGGCGAAAGCCUGACGGAGCAAUACCGCGUGAGGGAAGAAUGCCUAUGGGUUGUAAACCUCUUUUUUCAGGGUAGGAAGUAAAAUGACGUGUACCUGAAGAAUAAGACAUCGGCUAACUCCGUG